Long non-coding RNA from Rattus rattus (black rat), 642 nucleotides. RefSeq lists it as uncharacterized. NCBI's taxonomy places the organism in Eukaryota, Metazoa, Chordata, Mammalia, Rodentia, Muridae. The transcript is spliced from 2 exons. The record is from RefSeq and is a predicted model, not a curated record.
CUUCUGCUCUUCCAGGGGACAGAUCCGCGUGGGACAGCUCACACGUGUUUGAAACUACCCCACCAGGAUCCCCUGGCUCUCUCCCCGCCUCUGGGAGACCGAAUUCAGGUGCACACUCUUCAAUUCUCGACUACCCACCCCAAACCCAUGUAAUUAUAAAAAUAAGGAAUAAAAUCUUUUUUAAAAGUCGCCGUGAAAAUGACGUUUCGCUGACUUCUCUGCGCACACUUCCACUAACAAGGUCAGGACAAGAGUUUCCAGCAUGGACUCUGUCUGGGCCUCGUGUUGUCAUCUUUCCCCGUAGGGACUGUGUGUACGGUGCAUCUCCGUCCUAAAGCCCUCUGUCCGGAAGCCCUCCGUCCUGUAGCACAGCACAGGUUCCUUCAGGGCUCUCCUACAGCUGGCCCUGUUGCUUAGCAGCUGAUCGUAGACUUGUACUGGCACCAGCUUGGAACGCAUGCUGUCUGCAGUUGAGGCAAAGGCAGUCUCUUGCCCGGUGUCAGCCUGAAGCAAAUUCCGUGUGGAGGGUCCUCAGUGCUCAUCGUCUUUUUUGAAAUGGAAUGGAGGCUGACGUGUCUCAUUGUCAAAGAGCGAACAAACAAACAAAACACAUUUUGAUCAAUAAAACAUUUUUAAAUGCCA